RNAcentral lists this ribosomal RNA (267 nucleotides) under uncultured archaeon. RNAcentral's name for it is "partial 16S ribosomal RNA". It matches the Rfam family "Archaeal small subunit ribosomal RNA", at positions 718 to 982 of the family's 1478-position model. The record is from RNAcentral.
AGUCACUGACAUUAGAUACCCCUGUAGUCCCAGCCGUAAACAAUGUGCGUUAGGUGUGUCGGUAACCACGUGUUACUGAUGCGCCGAAGAGAAAUCGUGAAACGCACCACCUGGGAAGUACGGUCGCAAGGCUGAAACUUAAAGGAAUUGGCGGGGGAGCACCACAACAGGUGGAGCCUGCGGUUUAAUUUGGAUUCAACGCCGGACAUCUCACCGGAUAAGACAGCUGAAUGAUUGUCAAUCUGAAGGUUUUACUAUGACUAGCUG